UGAGGAAUGCAUCGGAAUCUACUCUUUCUGGGGGAUAACGUAGGGAAACUUACGCUAAUACCGCAUACGACCUACGGGUGAAAGCAGGGGACCUUCUAGGCCUUGCGCGAUUGAAUGAGCCGAUGUCCGAUUAGCUAGUUGGCGGGGUAAUGGCCCACCAAGGCGACGAUCGGUAGCUGGUCUGAGAGGAUGAUCAGCCACACUGGAACUGAGACACGGUCCAG
Molecule: ribosomal RNA, 224 nt
Filed under: uncultured Lysobacterales bacterium
Lineage: Bacteria; Pseudomonadati; Pseudomonadota; Gammaproteobacteria; Lysobacterales
Description: uncultured Xanthomonadales bacterium partial 16S ribosomal RNA
Rfam family: Bacterial small subunit ribosomal RNA
Source: RNAcentral